Molecule: ribosomal RNA, 222 nt
Filed under: uncultured bacterium
Lineage: Bacteria
Description: partial 16S ribosomal RNA
Rfam family: Bacterial small subunit ribosomal RNA
Source: RNAcentral
ACGCUCGACACCUACGGAAGGCAGCAGUAGGGAAUCUUCCACAAUGGACGCAAGUCUGAUGGAGCAACGCCGCGUGAGUGAAGAAGGUCUUCGGAUCGUAAAACUCUGUUGUUAGAGAAGAACACGAGUGAGAGUAACUGUUCAUUCGAUGACGGUAUCUAACCAGCAAGUCACGGCUAACUACGUGCCAGCACGCCGAGUAUCNGNGGCGGNGUGACGAGC